CAAUCUGAUUUUGGGAAUCACGUAUUCUGCCAAGUUUGUUUGGAACCCUAGCCUCCAUUGUUGGCUUGUUGGUUUCUUCUUCAUUUUGCUAUCACAAAUUACACAUGGUAUCAGAGCUUCCAUAACAAACAACUCGUCUUCAGUGGGCCGACUCCAGAUUUGCUUGACAACUGUUCUUUCAUCCUCUAGUAAAGCUGGUUUUCUCGCAGAGGCUUCUUACCAUGAACAGAGUCGGCGAUUGACGAACUGUUUUUCCGACCAAGCUUCGAUGAUUUGGCACUUGUUGGAGGUAUUUUCUUUUGUUCUAGCUUUGGGGGUUGAGGAUGUAACUUGAAUUUGUGGAAGCUAUUAGGGGUGAAAUUAAGGAUAUUAGGUGCUCUGACUGCCCAAGAAAGAAGCUGGUCUUUUUGGGUUUUCAUAUUUGUUUUGGAUAUCAUUUGUUGUUUGUUGGCUGAAUCCUUUGUGAUGGUGGGUGUAAGAGAUGAUUCGCUUCAGUCAAUUACUGUGAGACUAGAUGGAAGAAAUUAUUCAUAUUGGAGUGUUGUGAUGAAAAUUUUUUUGAAAGGAAAAUCAUUGUGGGAUUAUGUAACUGGUAUUGAGACCAAACCUCAGCUUGAUGAAAAUGAAAAUGAAAAGUUUGUAGAAAUGCUUCGUACUUGGGACAUGAACAAUGCUAAAAUUACGACUUGGAUAUUUAAUUCUGUUGAACACUCUAUUGGUAUACAAUUGGCAAAAUAUGAGAUAGCUAAGGAAAUUUGGGACCAUUUAGUAAGGUUGUUCACAUAGUCUAAUUUUGCAAUGAAAUACGAAUUGGAAGCAAAUAUUCGAGCAAUAGAGUAGAAAAAUAUGAGUGUUCAAGAAUUUUAUUCUGCAAUUACCAACCUUUGGGAUCAAUUGACUCUUACAGAAGAUGAUGAACUUCGAGCUUAUAAACCAUAUAUUAAGAAUAGAGAGCGACAACGUUUGGUUCAAUUUUUGAUGGCUCUUCGUGAUGAAUUUGAAGGAUUUCGUAGGUCAAUUUUGCAUCGUAAUCCACUUCCAUCCGUUGAUUUUGUUAUUAGUGAACUUUUGGCAGAGGAAAUACAUUUGAAAUCCCAUGUAGGAAAAAUAUCUCUAUCUACAUCCAUUGCUUCAGUUUUGGCUGUCCCUUUUCGACCAUUCACACAGAAUCAAAUGAGGUCUUAUUUGAGAGUUGCUAGUGAUGAAUGUAGCUUUUGCAAGCAUAAGUGACAUUGGAAGGCUCAGUGUCCUAAGUUAUUGAAGAGACAAAAACCUCCAAAGAGUCCGCAACGGUCCUCACAGUAGUGGCAAUAUCAGUCUUUUGGAUAUUUGGGAGGUCAAUCACCACAUCUAUCUUAUAGGCCCAGUACAAAUACAGCAACUGUUGUACUUUAUUUUGACUCAUCUGGUAUUGAUACUUCGUAACCUUCUGCUCCUACUUUAUCUGAUCUCACUGAGCAGUUUUAGAAGUUCCUUGCCACACAGCCAUCUCCUUUGUCUGUAUCUUUGCGUAUAGGUUUGUCGUCCCACAAUCCUUCAGGUACAAGUUCCUCUAUAUGGGUUUUAGACUCGGGUGCGUCUAAUCAUAUGUCACUUGACUCGACAUCCUUUGUUUCUUUGUAUCCUUCUAAGUCAUCUGUAUCUGUGAUGACCACUGAUGGCACUCCAAUGUCCUUGGCAAGUGUCGGUUCUGAUAGCACACAAAAUUUGUCAUUUUUUGAAAUAUUGUAUAGACAUCCUCCUGAUUAUUCUUUUUUGAAAGUUUCUUGUUGUACUUGUUUUGUUCUUCAUCCUAAAGUAGAGCGUACCAAGUUAACUUCACGCUCUGCUAUUUGUGUGUUUUUAGGUUAUGGCGAUUGACAAAAAAGUUAUCGUUGUUUUGAUCCCAUUAGUCAAAAAUUGUAUGUCUCUGGUCAUGUUGUGUUCCUUGAGAAUAUUCCAUUCUUUCUUCCCGAUCAUUCUCAUAACAUGACUAAGUCUGAACUCAUUUGCAUUGAUCCAUUCUCUGAUGGUACAGAUAGUCCACUCUCUCAUACCCCAUGCAUUAUCGAUACUCAAUGCACUACAGGUCCUUGAUGUUCCCACUCCAUCUAUGGCCUCCCUCCCAAGUACCUUCUGUGGUUGUCGAUCAUCCUCCACCCCCCUCGAUAUCCUUAGCGUUCUCGUAAGUCUACCCAAUUACCAGAUUUUAGUUAUUCUUGCUAUUCAGAUUCCUUUAAUUGUUUUUUAACCUCUAUUCAUAACAUAUCCGAGCCCUUUUCCUAUAAAAAGGCUAUUCUUGAUCCUCUUUGGUAGGGAGCUAUGGCUAAGGAACUCUCUACACUGCAUAAGAUUGAUACUUGGGAUUUGGUUCCAUCACCACCUGGUAAAUGUGCUGUUGGUUCUCGUUGGGUCUAUAAGAUAAAAACAAAAGCUGAUGGCUCGAUUGACCGAUAUAAAGCUAGAUUAGUUGCUAAGAGUUUCAACCAAGAGUAUGGUAUGGAUUAUGAGGAGACCUUUGCUCCUCUUGUAAAGAUGACUACUGUUCGUAUGCUGAUUGCUAUUGCGUCUAUUCAUCGAUGGAAUAUCUCUCAGAUGGAUGUUAAAAUGCCUUCUUGAAUAAAACUCUUCACGAGGAUGUUUAUAUGGUGCCCCCUCCUGGUGUUUCUCAUAACCCUAGAUACGUUUGUAAAAUUAAGAAGGCACUUUAUGGUCUCAAACAAGCACCUCGUGUUUGGUUUGAGAAGUUUUCUACCGUUAUCGCCUCUCUUGGUUUUUCAUCAGUCAUCAUGAUUCUGCUUUCUUUGUUCGGUGCACAUCAGCAGGUCAUAUUAUCCUUUCUUUAUAUGUUGAUUACAUGAUUAUUACUGGUGAUGAUAUUGAUGGCAUUGUUAUCUUGAAGUCAGAAUUAGCUCUUCAAUUUGAAAUGAAGGACUUGGGUCCCCUACGUUACUUCUUGGAUAUAGAGGUUGCUUAUUCUUCUAAGGGUUAUCUUCUAUCUUAGUCUAAGUAUACAGCCAACGUCAUUCAAUGUGCUCGUCUCACUGAUACUCGAACUGUUGAUACUCCUCUUGAGACUAACGUUUGGUAUUCCCCCUCUAAUGGUGUACCUUUGAUGGGUCAUACUUUAUAUCAUACUAUUGUUUGUUGCUUGGUAUGUCUUACUAUUACUCAUCCAAAUAUUGCAUAUGCUGUUUAUAUUGUCAGUCAGUUUGUUGCAUCUCCUACUACAGUUCAUUGGGCUACUAUUGUUCGUAUGUUGCAUUAUCUUCGUGGCACUUGUUUUCCAAGUCUCUUACUUCCAUCGAGCUCAUCUUUAGAGCUACGUACAUACUCUGAUGCUGAUUGGGCUAAUGAUCCAACUGAUCGUAAAUCCACCACUGGUUUUUGUGUAUUUUUGGGUGAUUCUCUUAUUUCUUGGAAAAGUAAGAAGCAAACUAUUGUUUCUCGAUCUUCUACCGAGGCUGAGUAUCGUGCUAUGGCAUCCACUACUACUGAAAUUGUUUGGCUUCGUUGGUUACUUGCAGAUAUGGGUGUUAUUCUUUUCACUCCAACUCCUAUGUACUAUGAUAAAAAAAGCGCUAUUCAGAUAUCUCACAGCUCUGUGUUUCAUGAGCAAACAAAGCACAUUGAAAUCGAUUGUCAUCUCAUUCGUCACCAUCUUCAGCAUGACACUCUUACUCUACCUUUUGUUUCUUCUUCGAUGCAACUAGCUGAUUUUUUCACGAAAUCACACCCUGUUCAGCGUUUUCGCUUUUUGAUCAACAAACUCUUGAUGCUUCUUGCUGUCACAUUGUGAGUUUGAAGGGGAUGUUAGUAAAAUUAGUUAGUUUCUAUUUAUCUUAUUGUUAAAGGGUAGAAUGGUAGUUUUUAUUUACUUGAUUAGGGUAGUUUAGUCUUUUUACUGAUUUACUAUUUAUUCACUUGUAAUCUCAUUUUCCUCUCAAUCUGAUUUUGGGCAAUAUUCUGCCAAGUUUGUUUGGAGCCCUAGCCUCCAUUGUUGGCUUGUUGGUUUCUUCUUCAUUUUGCUAUCACAAAUUGCACACAUUCUCCUUCUCUAGACACGAAUGAUUUCCAUUGUAAACUAAAAUAUUCAUCUUCUUCUAUUGGAACCCGGGUAAAUUUGACUCUACUUGGUGUCAAAUUGACUUGAGUUUGA
This 4138-nucleotide long non-coding RNA is filed under the name Olea europaea subsp. europaea. The record is from RNAcentral. Lineage: Eukaryota; Viridiplantae; Streptophyta; Magnoliopsida; Lamiales; Oleaceae.